CCCUUAGAUGUUCUGGGCCGCACGCGCGCUACACUGAUGCAUUCAACGAGCCUAUCCUUGACCGACAGGUCCGGGUAAUCUUUGAAUCUGCAUCGUGACGGUGAUAGAUUAUUGCAAUUAUUAAUCUUCAACGAGGAAUGCCUAGUAGGCGCAAGUCAUCAGCUUGCGUCGAUUACGUCCCUGCCCUUUGUACACACCGCCCGUCGCUCCUACCGAUUGGGUGUGCUGGUGAAAUGUUCGGAUCGGCCGUUUGUCGCGGUUUCCGCGGCUCGUGGCUGAGAAGUUCAUUAAACCCUCCCACCUAGAGGAAGGAGAAGUCGUAACA
Molecule: ribosomal RNA, 325 nt
Filed under: uncultured eukaryote
Lineage: Eukaryota
Description: partial 18S ribosomal RNA
Rfam family: Eukaryotic small subunit ribosomal RNA
Source: RNAcentral